GACGAACGCUGGCGGCGUGCUUAACACAUGCAAGUCGAACGGAAAGGCCCUGCUUGCAGGGUACUCGAGUGGCGAACGGGUGAGUAACACGUGGGUGAUCUGCCCUGCACUUCGGGAUAAGCCUGGGCAACUGGGUCUAAUACCGGAUAGGAGCCAUUUUUAGUGUGAUGGUUGGAAAGUUUUUUCGGUGUAGGGUGAGCUCGCGGCCUAUCAGCUUGUUGGUGGGGUAAUGGCCUACCAAGGCGGCGACGGGAAGCCGGCCUGUGGGUGUGGACGGCGACACUGAGACUGAGAGAAGGCACAGAUGCGGAAGGGAGGAAGAAGGGGGGAAGAUUGAACAAGGGGUACAGGGUGGAUGAAGAGAGGCUGCGGGGUGGAUGACGGCUUUGGGGUUGUAAACAAGCAGCGGUAGGGACGAAGCUUUUUGUGACGGUACCUAGAGAAGAAGCACCGGCUAACUACGUG
This 465-nucleotide ribosomal RNA is filed under the name uncultured bacterium. RNAcentral describes it as "partial 16S ribosomal RNA". It matches the Rfam family "Bacterial small subunit ribosomal RNA", at positions 28 to 507 of the family's 1533-position model. The record is from RNAcentral.